CAGUAGCCACGGGAAUACGUAGGGGGCAAGCGUUAUCCGGAAUUACUGGGUGUAAAGGGAGCGUAGACGGUUAAACAAGUCUGAAGUGAAAUGCCGGGGCUCAACCCCGGAGCUGCUUUGGGAACUGUAGAACUGGAGUGUCGGAGGGGUAAGCGGAAUUCCCAGUGUAGCGGUGAAAUGCGUAGAUAUUGGGAGGAACACCGGCGGCGAAGGCAGCUUACUGGACGACAACUGACGUUGAGGCUCGUAGGCGUGGGUAGCAAACAGGAUUAGAACCCCUGUAGUCCCUGUCUCUUAUACA
RNAcentral lists this ribosomal RNA (301 nucleotides) under uncultured bacterium. Its description in RNAcentral is "partial 16S ribosomal RNA". It matches the Rfam family "Bacterial small subunit ribosomal RNA", at positions 509 to 808 of the family's 1533-position model. The record is from RNAcentral.